UUGGGAAUCUUAGGCAAUGGGCGAAAGCCUGACCUAGCGACGCCGCGUGAGGGAAGAAGGCCUUCGGGUCGUAAACCUCUGUCAUGGGGGACGAAGGAAGUGACGGUACCCCAAGAGGAAGCCCCUGCUAACUACGUGCCAGCAGCCGCGGUAAUACGUAGGGGGCGAGCGUUAUCCGGAAUUAUUGGGCGUAAAGGGCGAGUAGGCGGUCUGUUAAGUCAGGUGUGAAAUUUCAGGGCUCAACCCUGAAACUGCGCUUGAAACUGGCAGGCUAGAGGACAGGAGAGGGAAGUGGAAUUCCCGGUGUAGCGGUGGAAUGCGUAGAUAUCGGGAGGAACACCAGUGGCGAAGGCGGCUUCCUGGACUGUACCUGACGCUGAGGAGCGAAAGCUGGGGGAGC
Molecule: ribosomal RNA, 400 nt
Filed under: uncultured bacterium
Lineage: Bacteria
Description: bacterial SSU rRNA
Rfam family: Bacterial small subunit ribosomal RNA
Source: RNAcentral